RNAcentral lists this ribosomal RNA (739 nucleotides) under uncultured Trebouxia photobiont. RNAcentral describes it as "eukaryotic LSU rRNA". The stretch from base 273 to 426 matches the Rfam family "5.8S ribosomal RNA". The record is from RNAcentral. Lineage: Eukaryota; Viridiplantae; Chlorophyta; Trebouxiophyceae; Trebouxiales; Trebouxiaceae.
AAUCUAUCGUGUCCACACCGCGAAACUACUUAUGCCCUUCUGGAGUAGGCAGACUUUACGGUUUGCCCUUCAGUUGCGUAGGUCAGGGGCUGGCUCCUUUUGGUGUCAGUUGACUUGACUGGGCGGGUCCAAUAUCAAUCGGAUUCACCGCGCCUUUCAGGCUCGGGGUUCUGCCGGUUGUGAGGGGUGGCGGUUAACUCACUUUAAGCAAUCAAUUCUGAAGACAGUUCUAUUGGCUGGCUUUGCUGGCUAUAGGCUGAAUAACUAAAGACAACUCUCAACAACGGAUAUCUUGGCUCCCGUAACGAUGAAGAACGCAGCGAAAUGCGAUACGUAGUGUGAAUUGCAGAAUUCCGUGAACCAUCGAAUCUUUGAACGCAAAUUGCGCUCGAGGCCUCGGCCAAGAGCAUGUCUGCCUCAGCGUCGGCUACUACCCUCAAUUAAAUUUCAUUGGUGAACUCCGAUGAAAGGCAGUUGGAUUUGGCCGUCCGGUUUGCCUUUUUAGGUUGCCGGUCAGUUGAAAUACAUUCACGCUUUGAGAGCUGCUUUCCUUUUGGGAAAGGCGAGUUCCGAUUUGGUAGGUGACCUUUGCCGGUUGCAUGCCUUCGUUGCCCGCUAUGCUCUCAACUGCGUUGUGCAGGACGCCUUUUGGCUUUCGACCUGAGGUCAGGCAAGAACACCCGCUGAACUUAAGCAUAUCAAUAAGCGGAGGAAAAGAAACUAACUAGGAUUCCCUUAG